UUAGCCGAUGCGGGUCAAACCAUAUUGUUUUGACCCCAAAAUCCAGAGUGUGAAUGUAAGACCCAUAUAAAACAAGUCUUCGAACUUGUUUGGGCGAAAUCACCACUUGUUCCCGGUUUUCGCCUUUCACGCGAUUAAACCGUAUAUAUUCCUUUGAAACUGACCGGUCUAAGCUACGGCUAUUAUAAAGACCCGUUAGGAUUCUAAUAGGUUGAUAAAACCUUCGUUCCAGAUUAGGAGCCCAGUAAAAGUACUUGCGACUACUGAUUAGAAUAUACGGCUGAGUUAUUAUUCUUGCUAUUUAAGACAGGAGCUAGCUCAGGGGUUAAUGACCAUAUUAAGUGCAGGUGCUAUACGUAAUAGGCUGGCUACUCCAGGCAUCAUUAUUCAAGUCUUGCAAGCUUUAGAUGUCAAAGUCUGUUGAACAAUACUUUUCGAUAUUAUUAUUUGAUCCCCUGUGGAUACCUUUCGACUAUUUGUAAUACAUUUGAUAUUACGAACAAUAGUUGAAUAUAAUUAUCUUUAUGCUUCCGCUGUGCAUUAUUAUAUUGUGUGGUUUGACUAUGAUGUCUCCAACUAUGUCACGGUAAUCCCCACCGGGCCCACCGGUGAUACACGUGGAAAUCGGGGUGUGACAGCUAGCUACCGGCACAACGUGGGGAACGACCAGCACAAUUUAAACGCGUGCCAACACAAGUGGCGCGAGCUACGACCGAAGCUCGACCGUUUUAAAGCCUACUACGAUAGCGUCCUAGACGGUGAUAUAAGUCACGAAGAUAUUGUGGCGGUGGCCAACAUCGAGUUCCUGGGCAAGGAGUGGAAGCCGUUUGACAAGCUUGCCAUGUUCGAAAUCUACCUAACGCUUUAGGCUUUUUUUUAAAUUUUGUAAUCUCUUUUUUUUUAGAAUUUUGUAAUUUUUAGGAACUUUUAACAAUAUAUUUAGGCUUUUUUUUAAUUCUGUUUGUAUUUUUUAAUUUUUGUUUUUUUUUAAUUUUUAUAAAACUGGCCAACCCACGCGGGCUAGCCACGCCUCGCCAUAC
RNAcentral lists this long non-coding RNA (1040 nucleotides) under Helianthus annuus (common sunflower). Its description in RNAcentral is "hypothetical non coding rna". The record is from RNAcentral. Lineage: Eukaryota; Viridiplantae; Streptophyta; Magnoliopsida; Asterales; Asteraceae.